UGGGGAAUAUUGGACAAUGGGCGAAAGCCUGAUCCAGCCACGCCGCGUGUGUGAAGAAGGUCUUCGGAUUGUAAAGCACUUUAAGUUGGGAGGAAGGGCAGUAAGUGAAUACCUUGCUGUUUCGACGUUACCGACAGAAUAAGCACCGGCUAACUCGGUGCCAGCAGCCGCGGUAAUACAGAGGGUGCAAGCGUUAAUCGGGAUUACUGGGCGUAAAGCGCGCGUAGGUGGUUCGUUAAGCUGGAUGUGAAAGCACCGGGCUCAACCUGGGAACGGCGUCCAAAACUGGCGGGCUGGAGUAGGGCAGAGGGUGGUGGAAUUUCCGGUGUAGCGGUGAAAUGCGUAGAUAUAGGAAGGAACACCAGUGGCGAAGGCGACCACCUGGGCUCAUACUGACACUGAGGUGCGAAAGCGUGGGGAGCAAACAGG
This 429-nucleotide ribosomal RNA is filed under the name Pseudomonadota bacterium. Its description in RNAcentral is "Proteobacteria bacterium partial 16S ribosomal RNA". It matches the Rfam family "Bacterial small subunit ribosomal RNA", at positions 355 to 776 of the family's 1533-position model. Lineage: Bacteria; Pseudomonadati; Pseudomonadota. The record is from RNAcentral.